GGAAGGGUGGCUCAGUGGUAGAGCAACCGCCGUUCGGGUGGAUUACUUAGGCUUCGCGUGGUUCGACUCCCGCCCCUUCCG
This 81-nucleotide transfer RNA is filed under the name Haloprofundus sp. MHR1. RNAcentral's name for it is "tRNA-Glu". It matches the Rfam family "tRNA". From Rfam's summary of the family: Transfer RNA (tRNA) molecules are approximately 80 nucleotides in length. Their secondary structure includes four short double-helical elements and three loops (D, anti-codon, and T loops). Further hydrogen bonds mediate the characteristic L-shaped molecular structure. tRNAs have two regions of fundamental functional importance: the anti-codon, which is responsible for specific mRNA codon recognition, and the 3' end, to which the tRNAs corresponding amino acid is attached (by aminoacyl-tRNA synthetases). tRNAs cope with the degeneracy of the genetic code in two manners: having more than one tRNA (with a specific anti-codon) for a particular amino acid; and 'wobble' base-pairing, i.e. permitting non-standard base-pairing at the 3rd anti-codon position. The record is from RNAcentral. Lineage: Archaea; Methanobacteriati; Methanobacteriota; Halobacteria; Halobacteriales; Haloferacaceae.